AAACUUUCAACAACGGAUCUCUUGGCUCUGGCAUCGAUGAAGAACGCAGCGAAAUGCGAUACGUAAUGUGAAUUGCAGAAUUCAGCGAACCAUCGAAUCUUUGAACGCAUCAUUGCGCCCGCCAGCAUUCUGGCGGGCAUGCCUGUCCGAGCGUCAUUU
RNAcentral lists this ribosomal RNA (159 nucleotides) under Sporothrix schenckii. RNAcentral describes it as "5.8 ribosomal RNA". It matches the Rfam family "5.8S ribosomal RNA". Rfam says of the family: 5.8S ribosomal RNA (5.8S rRNA) is a component of the large subunit of the eukaryotic ribosome. It is transcribed by RNA polymerase I as part of the 45S precursor that also contains 18S and 28S rRNA. The record is from RNAcentral. Lineage: Eukaryota; Fungi; Ascomycota; Sordariomycetes; Ophiostomatales; Ophiostomataceae.